UAAUAUACGAAUAAUAUAUAAAUUCAAAGAUAUAAAUUUCUUAAAAAGUAUAAGAUUUCAUUUCAAAAAAAUUAUUUACAGCAAAAUAUUCUGCAACUGCUUUGACUUGUUCGUAAUCAUCUGCCCUUGCCAAUGCAGCUAAUCCAUCAGGAUUCAAUUUUCCACAACGGGGAUACAAUUUUGCUCUAUCAUCUUUACCUAAUUCAGUUCCAAAUGAAUUGAUAGUUAUUAUAAUAGCUCGCCUAUCAGCUUCAAACUCAAGUAUUUCACACAUGGUAUCUGCAGUUGUUCCUCCAAUAUCUUUACAAAAUUUAUAAAAUGCUUCUAAAUAAGCUUUGUAUAAUGUAUUUCUAAUUAUCUCAAUAUUCAUUUCAUCCAAAUCUUGUUCAGAAAUGCAAUCCACAAAAAAAGGUGCUACAAAUUUAUUGAAUAUAUAUAAU
This is a long non-coding RNA of Apis florea (little honeybee), 440 nucleotides long. Lineage: Eukaryota; Metazoa; Arthropoda; Insecta; Hymenoptera; Apidae. The record is from RefSeq and is a predicted model, not a curated record.